AACCACACUAACACGGACCAAGCAUGGAAAGCUAACGGGUCAAGCGGAAGCGAGGGAGCAAGCAUGGACACUAACGCUUAAGUUAUGUUUCGUUUUAAGUAUGGGUGUGUGAACGUAUAUAUAUAUGCGGAUGCUAGUAUGCAUGUAUAACCGAAUGCCAGAAGGUAAGUACGUAUGUUCAUAUGAUUUCUAUAUGAUUAUGUUUUGAUGCAAAUAACAGUGUACCUUGAGAAUGAAGAAUAGUACAGGUACAAUGAU
Molecule: long non-coding RNA, 258 nt
Filed under: Helianthus annuus (common sunflower)
Lineage: Eukaryota; Viridiplantae; Streptophyta; Magnoliopsida; Asterales; Asteraceae
Description: sRNA HanXRQr2_Chr03g0124051
Source: RNAcentral